CAUGCAUGUGUAAGUACAGCCCUUGUACGGUGAAACUGGCAAUGGGUCAAUAAAUCGGUUUUAAGAUACUUGAUAGUCUACCUACUUGGAAUAACCCUAGUAAUUCUAGAGGUAAUACAUGAAGCCUUCGGGUGAAUUUAUUAGAUACAACCACACCAGUGGUGAGUCAUAGUAACUAAUCUGAUCGGUGGAAGCCGACGGUUCAUUCUCGAUUCCGCCCUAUCAGCUUUCCACGGGAGGGUAUUGGGCUACCGUGGCGUUAACGGGUAACGGAGAAUUAGGGUUCCAUUCCGGAGAGGGAGCCUGAGAAACGGCUACCACAUCCAAGGAAGGGAGGAGGCGCGUAAAUUACCCAAUCCUAAUGGAGGGAGGUAGUGACAAUAAAUACUGACGCUGGACUCUACAGUCUGGUAAAGAAUGAGAACAGGUUAAAACCCUAUCCAGGACCCUUGGAGGGCAAGUCUGGUGCCAGCAGCCGCGGUAAUUCCGCUCCAAUAGCGUAUAUUAAAGUUGUUGGCGUUAAAAAGCUCGUAUUGAAUUUCGGAUCCGCCACUCCCCCCCCUUCAUUGGGGGCAUGUGGAGUUCCUCCCCCGCCUUUGGCGUCCUUUACUGGGAAAAAAUUAGAGUGUUCCAAGCACGCAAUCGCUUGAAUACAUUACCGUGGAAUAAUAAGAUAGGAUCUUCGUCUAUUUUGUUGGGUGCCGACUGAGAUAAUGAUUAAUAGGGAUAGUUGGGGGCGGCUGUCUUGGGGGGCCGGAGGGGGAGGCCUCCUUAGAUUUACGCCCCACAACC
This 792-nucleotide ribosomal RNA is filed under the name uncultured Bicosoecida. Its description in RNAcentral is "bacterial SSU rRNA". It matches the Rfam family "Eukaryotic small subunit ribosomal RNA", at positions 50 to 940 of the family's 1831-position model. The record is from RNAcentral. Lineage: Eukaryota; Bigyra; Bicosoecida.